AAGAAGGACGAAGGUGCGUGUUGACAGCUCUGAGUGGAAGGAGGACGAAGGUGCGUUUUGACAGCUCUGAGUGGAAGAAGGACGAAGGUGCGUUUUGACAGCUCUGAGUGGAAGGAGGACGAAGGCACGUGUUGACAGCUCUGAGGGGAAGAAGGACGAAGGUGCGUUUUGACAGCAUUGAGGGGAAGAAGGACGAAGGUGCGUUAAGAACUGAAACAUGAACGCAUAACAACAGCAACUCUUUGUAUUCGUUGACAGUCUCUCUCUAGUCAUGGUUUUAAACAUUUUGAAAUCUCACAGAUUCAACUUACUGCGGAUACGGUAAUCUGAGCCAUCCGAUUGGCCAGCGGGAGGCAAAUAGAGCACUUGAUUUAGUUCUGCGGGUCCGCCAGGAAGGCAGAGUUUGUACCUUCAGACACAUAAAAUGGUUAAAAAUGGGAACCGGUUGCCUCCCCGGCGCGCAGGGCAGUUUAAAUCAGGUGCACCUACCGCCAACAGCCCCAGAGGAAUGAAAAAGGAAACCGCACACUGGUCUUGAUAGUUUCACUGAUCUUUAAUUAGCUUUACGUAUCGGCCUCACGGCCUUCAUCAGGACUUGUGAUUUAAAAAUAAAAAAAAAUAUAUAUAUAUAUAUAUAUAGUACCCAUAUAUAGACCUAGCCCCGCCCACAUCCGUUCCACUCUUCGAAAGGGGUUUGAGGCGAAGGAAAAACACAUAAGUGCUUCCAAAUAUAACAAUCUACAUUUCAUAAAUAUUAGAAUAAAGUGUUAAACACGUCUGUAGAACCACAAUGAGGACGAAACCCCAGAGGAAUAAAAUAGAAAUAGAUACACGAGGCUUUACCAUUUUUGUUGAUUUUUUUUUUUACAGAAAAGUUUGACGAUCCACUAGGGAAUGUCUUGGCGAUGGACCAGUUGGUGACCACUGCUCUAUAGAAUCCAGCAGCACAUUCAUCCAGAACGUUCUAGAGCUUUCACUUCUCUCUGACAUUCUCUAUUCGCCCACGGAGCUCUCGCUGCUUAGCAACAGCCGCCAGACAGAGUUCCGUCCAGGCACGGCGGUAAUGAGCUUCUCCUUGUGUUAUUGUGUUUGUAUAAUAAACAUAUAAACUAGUCCUGCUGUGGAAAUAGUCACACUGAGCUUUCAGAGGUUCCUUCUCAGACUCUGUAGAGUUAAAGGGCUGAGUUAUGACAUAAUGGACCGAUGGGGGGG
Oncorhynchus tshawytscha (Chinook salmon) is the source of this 1212-nucleotide long non-coding RNA. RefSeq lists it as uncharacterized. The record is from RefSeq and is a predicted model, not a curated record. Lineage: Eukaryota; Metazoa; Chordata; Actinopteri; Salmoniformes; Salmonidae. The transcript is spliced from 2 exons.